GAAGAACCUUACCAAGGCUUGACACACUGGCUCAAGCUAAUGUGAAAGCAUUUUGUGUUGUAAGGCUUGCCUUACAUAGUCAGUACAGGUGCUGCAUGGCUGUCGUCAGCUCGUGCCGUGAGGUGUCCGGUUAAGUCCGGUAACGAGCGCAACCCCUAUGUUUAGUUGCCAGCACGUAAGGUGGGAACUCUAAAGAGACUGCCGGCGACAAGCCGGAGGAAGGCGGGGACGACGUCAAGUCAUCAUGGCCCUUAUGCCUUGGGCUACACACAUGCUACAAUGGCGGAUACAAUGGGUUGCCAAACCGUGAGGUGGAGCCAAUCCCAUCAAAGUCCGUCUCAGUUCGGAUUGCAGGCUGCAACUCGCCUGCAUGAAGUUGGAAUCGCUAGUAAUCGUGGAUCAGCACUGCCACGGUGAAUACGUUCCCGGGCCUUGCACACACCGCCCGUCACACCACGAAAGUCGGUUCUGCCCGAAGUGGUUGAGCUAACCCGCAAGG
RNAcentral lists this ribosomal RNA (499 nucleotides) under uncultured bacterium. RNAcentral describes it as "bacterial SSU rRNA". It matches the Rfam family "Bacterial small subunit ribosomal RNA", at positions 963 to 1446 of the family's 1533-position model. The record is from RNAcentral.